Molecule: ribosomal RNA, 140 nt
Filed under: uncultured eukaryote
Lineage: Eukaryota
Description: partial 18S ribosomal RNA
Rfam family: Eukaryotic small subunit ribosomal RNA
Source: RNAcentral
UGGUGGAGCGAUUUGUCUGGUUAAUUCCGAUAACGAGCGAGACCUCAACCUACUAAUUAGUAACCAGAUUCUUCGGAAUCGAAUUACUUCUUAGAGGGACUACCGGUUUUUAACCGGUAGGAAGUUUGUAGGCAAUAACA